Molecule: unclassified non-coding RNA, 379 nt
Filed under: uncultured Alphaproteobacteria bacterium
Lineage: Bacteria; Pseudomonadati; Pseudomonadota; Alphaproteobacteria
Description: contains 16S-23S intergenic spacer region
Source: RNAcentral
UCCGGCUUACCACCGGCGGUCCCAUUAGAGUGCCCAACUAAAUGAUGGCAACUAAUGGCGAGGGUUGCGCUCGUUGCGGGACUUAACCCAACAUCUCACGACACGAGCUGAUGACAGCCAUGCAGCACCUGUCUCCGGUCCAGCCGAACUGAAGGGAUCGAUCUCUCGUUCCCGCGACCGGGAUGUCAAACCCUGGUAAGGUUCUUCGCGUUGCGUCGAAUUGAACCACAUGCUCCACCGCUUGUGCGGGCCCCCGUCAAUUCCUUUGAGUUUUAAUCUUGCGACCGUACUCCCCAGGCGGGAUGCUUAAAGCGUUAGCUGCGCCACUGACGAGUAAACCCGCCAACGGCUAGCAUCCAUCGUUUACGGCGUGGACUAC